CAGAGCUGAGCAGCUCGUGACCAUGGUGACGGAAGAGAACUCUCACAGUUUUUAAUGCAGUUCUACUCCACUUUAGCUUCCCCUUCCUCUAGCUUGUUCUUCCUCCCCUCUCCUCUCAUUUCCACUCCUCUCAUCAACCAUGAAACCAUUCAUGAAACACCUGGCACGCCUGCUAUGUCUACGUACUCGAGGGCGGAGGGGCGCAGACCGUCAAAGGCAUCGCCGCCGUGCAUAUGCUUGGUGGUCGUGGCGACGUCUGCCUCGCGCCCGACCCCGACUUGUAGCAGCCGCGCGCCUCGAUCGAUCUAUCGCGUGGACUAGCUAGGUGCCGCGCGAGAGGGAAGUACCUCUGGUCGGCGACAUUGCGCGGGUUGCGGGCGUGUGCCGCUCGAUCGCAGUUUCCUCAGUUCCAUCCAAUGUGUCAGUUCCCUUUCGAUUACUCUUGGGUUCCUUAUUUUAACCAAAUUAGUAGUUCAUUUUCUUUUUAGGUCUCAAUUUGAAUACCAAUCCACCUCAAGUCGAUGUGGAGCGUGCUCGUCAACAUCGGCCCAGCAUUGUUAUCGUUUACCCUGUCAAAGUGAUUGAUGGCCGUCGAGUCGUUAUGCAUGGUGCGGGCUCUGGAUUUAUCAUCAGUUCUACAGCAGAUGGCAAGUGCAUUGUACUCACAUGUCGCCAUGUGGUCAAAGGAAGCAAGGGCUUUGACCCAGCUACGGAUUUGCUGCGUAUUAGGUUUCUGCAGGGUGUUGAAGAGGACAUGCAAGGUCAAUUAAUAUUAGAAGAUCCAUUUUUAGACAUUGCCUUCAUCUUAGUUAGUAACAUGCCAAUUAUGCUGCCGGCGUUGCGUUUUGCCCCGGGAGUGGAUUUGCCAGUCGGCACUCCUGUCUUCCUCCUAGGAAACUGCUUUCUGGAGCAACUCCCAGGCUGCAAUAUUCAAACUGCAAUUAUGCCAACAAUACCUACUGUAUCCCCAGGUGGAAUAAGUGCACCAUGCAAAGUGGAAUAUGGUCCUCAUAUAACAAGAAGAGAGAUUCAAUUUACAUGCCCAAACAAAGCAGGUUACUCUGGAAGUCCCCUCCUGCAUGAAGAAAAGGUUAUUGGAAUACUAGGGCGUGGCGCAUACCAAGCAUCACUUGCAGUUUGCACUGAAAAUUUGAUCACCUUUUUGGAAACGAGGCUUGGUGUGGACGAAGGUACGAUCCCUGUUGAAGACUUGAUCCAGAUGUUAUAUCAGUACCGUACUUAGGCUAAUCUGUUAGCAUGGAGAUAAGAUCAACUUAAGCAUUUCUACACAUGCGUCUGUAUUAUCUGUAAGCAUCGAGAUGCAGCACUAUUCUUUAGAGCGGUGUUAGCCUAUCCUUUAGGAUCAACUCAAGUACUCCUACAUGCUUGGAACUAUUGACAUUUUAAUAUCUGCCGCUCUUAUUUUGGCGCCUUUGGAUAUUAUCUAUUUGCAACUAUUGUUGAAGUUUCA
Long non-coding RNA from Oryza sativa Japonica Group (Japanese rice), 1471 nucleotides. RefSeq lists it as uncharacterized. Lineage: Eukaryota; Viridiplantae; Streptophyta; Magnoliopsida; Poales; Poaceae. The record is from RefSeq and is a predicted model, not a curated record.